CCUACGGGGUGCAGCAGUGAGGAAUAUUGGUCAAUGGACGCAAGUCUGAACCAGCAACGCCGCGUGAAGGAAGAAGGCUUUCGGGUUGUAAACUUCUUUUAAGAGGGAAGAGCAGAAGACGGUACCUCUUGAAUAAGCCACGGCUAACUACGUGCCAGCAGCCGCGGUAAUACGUAGGUGGCAAGCGUUGUCCGGAUUUACUGGGUGUAAAGGGCGUGUAGCCGGGCUGACAAGUCAGAUGUGAAAUCCGGGGGCUCAACCCCCGAACUGCAUUUGAAACUGUUGGUCUUGAGUAUCGGAGAGGCAGGCGGAAUUCCUAGUGUAGCGGUGAAAUGCGUAGAUAUUAGGAGGAACACCAGUGGCGAAGGCGGCCUGCUGGACGACAACUGACGGUGAGGCGCGAAAGCGUGGGGAGCAAACAGGAUUAGAUACCCCGGUAGUC
RNAcentral lists this ribosomal RNA (442 nucleotides) under uncultured bacterium. Its description in RNAcentral is "partial 16S ribosomal RNA". It matches the Rfam family "Bacterial small subunit ribosomal RNA", at positions 338 to 795 of the family's 1533-position model. The record is from RNAcentral.